GAUGAACGCUGGCGGCGUGCCUAAUACAUGCAAGUCGAGCGAACAGAUGAGGAGCUUGCUCCUCUGACGUUAGCGGCGGACGGGUGAGUAACACGUGGAUAACCUACCUAUAAGACUGGGAUAACUUCGGGAAACCGGAGCUAAUACCGGAUAAUAUAUUGAACCGCAUGGUUCAAUAGUGAAAGACGGUUUUGCUGUCACUUAUAGAUGGAUCCGCGCCGCAUUAGCUAGUUGGUAAGGUAACGGCUUACCAAGGCAACGAUGCGUAGCCGACCUGAGAGGGUGAUCGGCCACACUGGAACUGAGACACGGUCCAGACGCCUACGGGAGGCAGCAGUAGGGAAUCUUCCGCAAUGGGCGAAAGCCUGACGGAGCAACGCCGCGUGAGUGAUGAAGGUCUUCGGAUCGUAAAACUCUGUUAUUAGGGAAGAACAAAUGUGUAACUAACUAUGCACGUCUUGACGGUACCUAAUCAGAAAGCCACGGCUAACUACGUG
Molecule: ribosomal RNA, 497 nt
Filed under: uncultured bacterium
Lineage: Bacteria
Description: partial 16S ribosomal RNA
Rfam family: Bacterial small subunit ribosomal RNA
Source: RNAcentral